UUGGAGGGCAAGUCUGGUGCCAGCAGCCGCGGUAAUUCCAGCUCCAAUAGCGUAUAUUAAAGUUGUUGCAGUUAAAAAGCUCGUAGUUGAAUUUCGGGAUCAGUACGUUGGUCGUGCCUUAGGUACGUACUGGUGUUACUGGUUCCUACCUUCUGACGAACCAUCAUGUCAUUAAUUUGGUGUGGCGGGGAAUCAGGACUGUUACUUUGAAAAAAUUAGAGUGUUUAAAGCAGGCUCGCGCUUGAAUACAUUAGCAUGGAAUAAUGAAAUAGGACGUUGAUCCUAUUUUGUUGGUUUCUAGGAUUGACGUAAUGAUUAAUAGGGAUAGUUGGG
RNAcentral lists this unclassified non-coding RNA (333 nucleotides) under uncultured Glomeraceae. RNAcentral's name for it is "SSU rRNA". It matches the Rfam family "Eukaryotic small subunit ribosomal RNA", at positions 548 to 886 of the family's 1831-position model. The record is from RNAcentral. Lineage: Eukaryota; Fungi; Glomeromycota; Glomeromycetes; Glomerales; Glomeraceae.